AGAGUUUGAUCCUGGCUCAGAAUGAACGCUGGCGGCGCGCCUAAUACAUGCAAGUCGAGCGAGAAGACGUAGCAAUACGUUUGUAAAGCGGCGAACGGGUGAGGAAUACAUGGGUAACCUACCCUUGAGUGGGGAAUAACUAGCCGAAAGGUUAGCUAAUACCGCGUACGCUCCUUGGACUUCGGUUCAGGGAGGAAAGCGCUACCGUGGGUAGCGCGCUCUUGGAUGGGCUCAUGUCCUAUCAGCUUGUUGGUGAGGUAACGGCUCACCAAGGCUUCGACGGGUAGCUGGUCUGAGAGGACGAUCAGCCACACUGGCACUGCGACACGGGCCAGACUCCUACGGGAGGCAGCAGUAAGGAAUAUUGCGCAAUGGGCGAAAGCCUGACGCAGCGACGCCGCGUGGGGGAUGAAUGGCUUCGGCCCGUAAACCCCUGUCAUUUGCGAACAAGUUGUUUCACCUAACACGUGAGGCAUUGAUGUAGCGAAAUGAGAAG
RNAcentral lists this ribosomal RNA (496 nucleotides) under uncultured Nitrospira sp. RNAcentral describes it as "bacterial SSU rRNA". It matches the Rfam family "Bacterial small subunit ribosomal RNA", at positions 8 to 490 of the family's 1533-position model. The record is from RNAcentral. Lineage: Bacteria; Pseudomonadati; Nitrospirota; Nitrospiria; Nitrospirales; Nitrospiraceae.